UACGUAGGGGGCUAGCGUUGUCCGGAAUCAUUGGGCGUAAAGAGCGUGUAGGCGGCUCGGUAAGUCCGCUGUAAAAGUCAAAGGCUCAACCUUUGAAUGUCAGUGGAUACUGCCGGGCUAGAGUCCGGAAGAGGCGAGUGGAACUCCUGGUGUAGCGGUGGAAUGCGCAGAUAUCAGGAAGAACACCGACGGCGAAGGCAGCUCGCUGGGACGGCACUGACGCUGAGACGCGAAAGCGUGGGGAGCGAACAGG
RNAcentral lists this ribosomal RNA (253 nucleotides) under uncultured bacterium. RNAcentral's name for it is "partial 16S ribosomal RNA". It matches the Rfam family "Bacterial small subunit ribosomal RNA", at positions 524 to 776 of the family's 1533-position model. The record is from RNAcentral.